AGCGCAGUCUAACCAAAAUUAUCUCUUUUUUUCAAUGCGUGAUAUAUAUGUGCUAAUAUAAUUAAAAUUUUAACUGAAUAGCAAAUGUUUUCUAAAUAAAUUCAAUAUUUACUGCAGAGGUCGCUCGAGAAAUUAUUCCUCGAGCUCUAUCGUGUAACAUCAUUUACGGGAUGCCAGACGCCAUUUUCACUCGCAUCGGCCACGUCCUAACUUCUCAUUGUAGGAGUAUCUUUCAUUUGGAUCUGUUAAUGCAGCUGCAACGAUCUUGCAGUAAUUGCAGCAUCAGUGGAUAAUCAGUGGAUAAUCGCGAAACAAAAUGCCUCUUAGAUUAGAUAUUAAACGGAAGCUGACAGCCAGAUCAGACAGAGUGAAGAGUGUGGAUCUUCAUCCAACCGAACCAUGGAUGCUAUGCUCCUUAUAUCAAGGCAAUGUAAAUAUCUGGAAUCAUGAGACACAAACCUUGGUAAAAACGUUCGAAGUAUGCGAUCUGCCAGUGCGGACAGCCAAGUUUGUACCACGCAAGAACUGGGUUAUCACUGGUUCUGAUGAUAUGCAAAUCAGAGUGUUUAAUUACAAUACCUUGGAGCGCGUUCAUGCAUUUGAAGCACACAGUGAUUAUGUCAGAUGUAUAGCAGUUCACCCAACACAACCAUUUAUUCUUACUAGCAGUGAUGACAUGUGGAUCAAAUUAUGGAACUGGGAGAAAUCCUGGACCUGUCAACAAGUAUUCGAGGGUCAUACACAUUAUGUUAUGCAAGUUGUGUUUAAUCCGAAAGAUAACAAUACUUUUGCCAGUGCAUCUCUUGAUAGAACUGUCAAAGUUUGGCAGCUUGGUUCGUCUACGGCUAAUUUCACAUUAGAGGGUCAUGAAAAAGGCGUAAACUGCGUGGAUUAUUACCACGGCGGGGAUAAGCCAUACCUGAUAUCAGGAGCUGACGAUAGAUAUGUCAAGAUAUGGGAUUAUCAAAAUAAAACCUGUGUGCAGACUUUGGAAGGUCAUACGCAAAAUAUUUCUGCUGUGUGUUUUCAUCCAGAAUUACCAAUUGUUCUUACUGCCUCGGAAGACGGUACCGUCAGAAUAUGGCAUGCCGGGACGUACAGAUUAGAGUCGUCUCUCAAUUAUGGUUUUGAGAGAGUAUGGACCAUCGCGUGCAUGCGCGGUUCGAAUAAUGUUGCCAUCGGUUACGACGAGGGUAGCGUCAUGGUGAAGGUUGGUAGAGAAGAACCGGCCGUUUCGAUGGAUUCACUGGGUGGAAAAAUUGUAUGGGCACGUCACAGCGAAAUCCAGCAGGUGAACUUGAAGGCGUUGGGCGAGGAGGCUCAAGACGGAGAGCGACUACCAUUAGCCGUCAAAGAUAUGGGUGCCUGUGAAAUUUAUCCGCAAACUAUACAGCAUAAUCCAAACGGCCGUUUUCUGGUGGUCUGCGGUGAUGGCGAAUACAUUAUAUAUACAUCUAUGGCGUUAAGGAACAAAGCGUUCGGACAAGCAUCAGAAUUUGUAUGGGCGGCGGAUUCGAGUCAGUACGCAGUACGAGAAAGCAAUACGACAGUGAAAGUCUUUAAAAAUUUCAAGGAGAAAAAGAGCUUUAAGCCAGAUUUUGGAGCAGAUGGCAUUUUUGGCGGAUUUUUACUUGGUGUAUCUUCUGGAUCCGGUCUCUCCUUCUUUGACUGGGAUAUGUUAAAGUUGAUUCGUCGCAUAGAUAUACAACCGACACAUGUAUAUUGGGCGGAAAACGCCUCGUUGGUGGCACUAGCUACAUCAGAUCAAUAUUUUAUAUUAAAAUAUCACGCAGAUGCUAUCGCUAAUGCUGGAGAAAAUGCUGAGGACAUUGAAAAUGCAUUCGAGAUGGUAGCAGAGAUGAGCGAAGUGGUAAAGACUGGUUUAUGGGUUGGCGACUGCUUUAUUUAUACUAACAGUGUCAAUCGCGUUAAUUACUUCGUCGGUGGUGAAGUUGUCACAGUUUCCCAUCUGGACAGACCAAUGUAUUUAUUGGGAUAUGUACCAAGAGACAAUAGAUUGUACCUAUGCGAUAAGGAACUAUCUGUCGUAUCGUAUUCUUUAUUAUUAUCAGUACUUGAGUAUCAGACUGCGGUCAUGCGGAAAGAUUUUGAGACCGCCAACAGAGUGUUGCCGACUGUCCCAAAGGAACAUCGUACACGAGUAGCUCACUUCUUAGAGAAGCAAGGUUUUAAAGAACAAGCCUUAGCGGUAUCGACAGAUCCCGAGCAUAGAUUUGAAUUAGCACUCGCGCUUGGAAAUCUCGUGACCGCGCACGCACUUGCCAAAGAAGCGAAUAGCCAGCAAAAGUGGCGGCAACUAGCUUCUCUCGCUACGCAAAAGGGAAAAUUGUGUCUGGCGCAAGAAUGUUUGCACCAAGCACAAGAUUUUGGCGGCUUGUUGCUACUAGCAACUAGUACGGGAAAUGCCAACAUGAUAAAGAAACUCGGCACGGUCGCGGACGACACAGGAAAAAACAAUAUCUCUUUCUUAUCGAACUUUAUACUAGGCGACGUGGACAAAUGUCUCGACAUCCUUAUCAAAACGGAUAGAAUUCCGGAAGCAGCAUUCUUCGCUAGGACAUAUGCGCCCAGUAAAAUCUCUUCCAUCAUCAAAUUGUGGAAAGAGAAGCUAUCGACAGUGAGCGAGAAAGCUGGACAGAGCUUGGCGGAUCCCGAACAGUACGAAAAUCUUUUCCCAGGGUACAAAGAAGCGUUGAAGGUGGAAAAGUUCUUGCGCGAAGAGAGCAAAAAGAAAAUACCAGCUUCUGCAUUUCCCACUGUUACGCCUAAUAUCGAACGAAAGCCGUUAGAGGAAAUGAUAGCCGCCGAGCAAUCGGGUGUGUUCCAGUAUAGGGACGGCAUGAGUAGCAUUUCUGAAACACAAACUGAAGCAACGAUCGACAGAUUGCAAGAUCUUUCAAUAUCGCCAAAGGACUUUUUAAGUAAAAUGACUACAUCCAGCGUGCAGUCAGUGAUAACCGAAAAAGCGACGACGAAGCCAACGAGUAAUUACAGGCCUCUCACAUUAGACGAUGAUGAACUGGACGAUGACUUAGGGAUCGAUGAUAAUAUUGAUACCACGGGUAUUAAUCUCGAUGAUGAUCCUUUUGACGAUGAAGAAGAUUAACUGUCGAGAUAGGAGGUGAAUAGCGUGUGCAUGUCACACAAGUAUCUUUCAUUCUCUUCCCGUCAAUCAUUCCCCACAAGAAGAAAAAAAAUAAGAAAAUGAUCGAUCUUAAAUUUGAAAAAGAACGAACUUUAUAUAUCCACAUUUCAUCAACUCUGGGAUAUUCGAUAAUCAGCUGUUUCACGUUAUGCGUUCCCAUUCCUUCUGAAUUUUUGGACAACUGAGAGUGCGUGCGUAAAAGCCGGAAUCAAAUCGAUACUCUCGUACGUGUCUCAAUGUGCCGAGAGAGAAAAAAAUAAAGAGGUGUAGUUAGCACGAGUUGUACGUGCCCAGUCCACACUCGCGCAAGAGGAAACGUGCGCACGUGUUGAGGCAAAAUAUACUCGUUAUUAACAUCAAUAGGAAAAGAAGGUUCGAAGACUCAAACUCAUCUGAAUAACCAGGACAAACAGCGCGAGUCGCUUUAUUUUUUUACGAGAAAAAAGAAAUGUGCUAUAUAGCAUAAUAUUUUUUUCUCUUUCUUCUGAUAAAUAUCGCAUUUUUUUUAUUCAAUCCUGUAAUUAAAUGCAAUAUCAGCCUGCGGUAAUACUUAAAUACAUGUAUUUUUACUUGUGUACAAAAUGUUAAGAACUUUUAAAUUUUUAUUAGAAAUUUAAAUUAAAUAUGCUGUGUGUAAAACAUAAAGUUAACGCAAUGUUUAUGAUUCUUCUGAUAUAGUUUCUAAAUGUGUUAUAUAAUUUUAAAAUAUGAUUUGUGUUAUUUUAAUAACGAUGGUAUAUAUCGAUUAUGUGCGAAAAACAAAUAAUGAUUCUCCUUUUUCAAUGAGUGUAUCAGAGUACAUUAGCAUCGAAUGCGUCUACGCUGAAACUUUGCAUUCGCAUGCAGAUCCGCGAGAACGACGCUGAGGUCGGCGUUCUCGAAUUCGACGCUCGUUCUCGCGAAACGCACGCACGAAUAAACUAAGCCGUGCAUUUGUCGCAUUGCGCGCCCGAUGCAACUCGGGUUUCCGACUGAUGUGAAAGGACGAUGAAAAAAAAAGAAACUGCGUGUGUGAUGAAUCAUCGCGGCUCGUUUGACGUCACAUCGAUACGCGCAAAUCAUUACGAAUGCGCCCGUUCAGUAUUUCGCAAUGAUAUAUGCAUGUUCUUUCAUCGAACGGGUAUAUCGAUCGCCUAUAUAAUUCCAAUAUAUAUUAUAUUGAUCAUAUGGUACAAGAUCCCACAUUUGCCUUUUUAAAUAUAUUGUGCAUGUAUAUUAUAUGUAUAUAGAAUUUAGAUUAAGAGAUUUUUAUGACACAUUACUUGCUUUUGAAAGAAGCAUCGUAUAUUACAAUUAUUAGACAUCUACAAUAAAAAGAUGAUACAAAAAUCUAACAAAUAUCUCAAUAUUUGAAGUAUAUAUGUAUAUAUACAUAAAUUAAAGAAAGAGAGUUACAAUUUGUAUACAUAUUUAUCGUAUCAUAAUAUGUUAUUUGUUAUUGUUUACUCGCAUACAAGUUUAUUUAAUCCAAUGAACACAAUCUAUACACUACUCGUUAUAACGUUGUUAUGUCAUUUAAAAUAUCUCGCGCUGUGUUGUUUACGACUUAGUUUAUUCGUGGGUAUAACAUCUUCAUAAUUUUGAAUAGAAUCGCCAAGUUAUUAAAUAAGAAUAAUUCCCGGGCGGUUUUUUUCAUUCCACCUAAUAAA
This is an RNA transcript of Cataglyphis hispanica, 4815 nucleotides long. It is a transcript of the gene named coatomer subunit beta', with no coding region annotated. The record is from RefSeq and is a predicted model, not a curated record. The transcript has 9 exons. NCBI's taxonomy places the organism in Eukaryota, Metazoa, Arthropoda, Insecta, Hymenoptera, Formicidae.